RNAcentral lists this ribosomal RNA (428 nucleotides) under uncultured bacterium. Its description in RNAcentral is "partial 16S ribosomal RNA". It matches the Rfam family "Bacterial small subunit ribosomal RNA", at positions 354 to 796 of the family's 1533-position model. The record is from RNAcentral.
GUCGAGAAUCUUCCGCAAUGCGCGAAAGCGUGACGGAGCGACACCGCGUGAUGGAUGAAGUCCUUCGGGGCGUAAACAUCUUUUAUAAAGGAGGAAAUUUUUGACGUUACUUUAUGAAUAAGGGGCUCCCAAUCUCGUGCCAGCAGGAGCGGUAAUACGAGAGCCUCAAGCGUUAUCCGGAAUCAUUGGGCGUAAAGGGUGCGUAGGUGGUUUGAUUAGUCUCCUGUUAAAACUUCGAGCUUAACUCGAAAAGAGCGGGGUAAACGGUCAAACUAGAGUAUGUGAGAGGUGUGUGGAACUCAUGGUGUAGGGGUGAAAUCCGUUGAUAUCAUGGGGAACACCAAAAGCGAAGGCAGCACACUGGCACAUCACUGACACUGAGGCACGAAACCUAAGGUAGCGAAUGGGAUUAGAUACCCGAGUAGUCC